This 67-nucleotide transfer RNA is filed under the name Phlaeoba tenebrosa. RNAcentral's name for it is "tRNA-Tyr". Lineage: Eukaryota; Metazoa; Arthropoda; Insecta; Orthoptera; Acrididae. The record is from RNAcentral.
GGUAAGAUGACUGAAGAAAAUAGGUGAUAGACUGUAAAUCUAUUCAUGGGAGUGAUCUCUCUUACUA